AUGGGGAGACGGCCCUGACCCAGUGUGGGCCAUCCCUGCUGUUGGCUUGGUGGUUGAUCGGCCCUUGAUUUAAGCCCAGUUGAGUUGUCUCACAGGUCUUUGCUUUGAUUCGUUGUAGCCUUUGCGCCUUCUACCAGUGUGACCUGUCUGGACUUUGCUUCUCAUUCUGCAGAUGGGCAUUAGCAUGUGUUGUGUCCCUUUAUUGGUCUUUCUAAUUUGAAAAAAGAUGAGGCAGUCAUUAAAAAUGAUAGGUGCUUUUAGGAUAACAUAGCAUGUAGGACCAGCCCUCCCCCCUUUUUUAAGACAGGGUCUUGCUCUGUCGCCUAGACUGGAGUGCAGUGGUGCGAUCUUGACUCACUGUAGCCUGUACCUCUGGGGUGAAGCGAGUCUCCUACCUCAGCCUCCUGAGUAGCUGGGACCACAGGUGUGCCACCACACCCAAUUAAUUUUGGUAUUUUUUUGUAGAGGUGGGGUUUUACCAUGUUGGCCAGGCUGUUCUUGAACUCCUGAGCUCAUGUGAUCCACAUGCCUCUGCCUCCCAAAGUUAUGGGAUUAUAGGCGUGAGAUACCAUGCCCAGCCUCAUUUUUGUUUAUUCUUAAAACUGGCAUUUACCACCUGGCCCAUUAGCUUUUGCUUUAGAAGUGAAGAUCUUAUAUUAAUUGGAAUGUUAAUUCAUAUUCUGAAUUAUUGAAAGAACUGCUCUGUACAAAUUUUACUCUCACAGUAGGAUCUUUUAUGCUAAUAUCACUUCCAUAUUUUAACACAUGACCAUACAAGACCUCAUUACACUAAUAUAUGGUUAGUAUCUCAUUGAGUAAUAGAGGCUGAUAAUGGCACAUUGCAAAGUAUUGACCAUGUCAUUUUUUAUUACAGUUUUGUAAGAUUCUUUUGGAUACAGAAUGAACAUAGUAAAAGAAAGUUGCUACAUUAUUUAAGAUUGUCUGUUACUUGAACAUGCCGCUAUUUUAGACGUCUCUUUCCUUUUAUUUUGAAUCAUUGAGCUCUUGUUCUAUUUGUUGCUUUUUCAAGAUGAUGAAAGAUUAGUAUUUCCCUAGUAGCAUUCCCAAGCCAACUUGCCCACGAAUCAGAGACAAAGUCACAAGAAGGGCCAACUCUCUCCUGCUGAGAAGGAAUAAAAAUUUUAACACUCUUGUAAGUACAUGAAAAACUUCUUACUCAGCUGUGGAAGUUGAGCUAAGAGUAACAAAGGAAAAAAA
Sapajus apella (tufted capuchin) is the source of this 1218-nucleotide long non-coding RNA. RefSeq lists it as uncharacterized. The transcript has 2 exons. NCBI's taxonomy places the organism in Eukaryota, Metazoa, Chordata, Mammalia, Primates, Cebidae. The record is from RefSeq and is a predicted model, not a curated record.